RNAcentral lists this long non-coding RNA (783 nucleotides) under Arabidopsis thaliana (thale cress). RNAcentral describes it as "long non-coding RNA (ATHA_LNC000684)". The record is from RNAcentral. Lineage: Eukaryota; Viridiplantae; Streptophyta; Magnoliopsida; Brassicales; Brassicaceae.
GAACUCUUUUCCUAUAAAUAUAGGAUGUCUAACACCCUCUUCAAGACUCACUAAGAUAGCAAACAUCAUCUAUACCUUUCCUACUCAUUUAAAAAAAUGACUGCAAAUCUUUCCAUCACGAGCCAAGAUGACAGCAGACAUUUCUAAAUAGGUGGACAAUCCAAGCAGCAUGUAAUGAGAGGGCCGGGUGAUUUGCUUGAUUCACCGUGCUAAAAUCAAUACAAUCAAAGGUAUGCAGUUAUAAAGUGUAUGCACAUGUUUUUUGUAUUGCAUAUAGCUAAAGUAAUACCAUGUAUAUAGUUUUCUAAUACCAUAGAAUUUUUCUUAGGUGAAAAUCAAUUUCAAAUGCUUUUGACAUGUCUUUGUUGGCAAUCAAGCAAAACUAUUCUGCUAUCCAAGAUUUUGUAACUAAGUUAGUGUAUUAAGAAGAUAAAAUCAUUUUGUGAGAAUUUAAUAAAUACGAUAUUGAUUUAAUUUUCUCUUAUUUUCUACUUUGCCAAAGAAGGAAUAUCCUGCGUUUUAGUUGAUAAGGGCUAACAUCAUCAGUCUACAUGUUACAAUAACAUGAUCAUCACGUGCUCAUUGGGUUUUAGUUUCUAAAAGAAAAAAAAAAAGAAUAAGAGAAAUUAAAGCAGAUACACUAAAAUUACCUUCUUGCUCAUCCCAUUAAAGCAAAGAACAAGUGAUGGAUGGAAACUAUUAUGGGACGAAAAAUUUCAAACAUAAAAAGGAUGAGACGGGUUUCCAGUUACCAAAUGGACAUUUCUAAAAGAGCAUUAUAGA